GACUUGACAUCUCCUGAAUUACUCUUAAUCGAGGAAGUCCCUUCGGGGACAGGAAGACAGGUGGUGCAUGGUUGUCGUCAGCUCGUGUCGUGAGAUGUUGGGUUAAGUCCCGCAACGAGCGCAACCCUUAUUGUUAGUUGCUACUAUUAAGUUAAGCACUCUAACGAGACUGCCGCGGUUAACGUGGAGGAAGGUGGGGAUGACGUCAAAUCAUCAUGCCCCUUAUGUCUAGGGCUACACACGUGCUACAAUGGCUGGUACAACGAGCAGCAAACCCGCGAGGGGGAGCAAAACUUGAAAGCCAGUCCCAGUUCGGAUUGUAGGCUGAAACUCGCCUACAUGAAGUUGGAGUUGCUAGUAAUCGCGAAUCAGCAUGUCGCGGUGAAUACGUUCCCGGGUCUUGUACACACCGCCCGUCACACCAUGAGAGCCGGUAACACCCGAAGCCCGUGAGGUAACCGUAAGGAGCCAGCGGUCGAAGGUGGGAUUGGUGAGUGGGGUGAAGUCGUAACAAGGUAGCCGUAGGAGAACCUGCGGCUGGAUCACCUCCUUUCUAGGGA
This 560-nucleotide ribosomal RNA is filed under the name Clostridium botulinum C. RNAcentral describes it as "bacterial SSU rRNA". It matches the Rfam family "Bacterial small subunit ribosomal RNA", at positions 978 to 1533 of the family's 1533-position model. Lineage: Bacteria; Bacillati; Bacillota; Clostridia; Eubacteriales; Clostridiaceae. The record is from RNAcentral.